Molecule: ribosomal RNA, 451 nt
Filed under: uncultured Alphaproteobacteria bacterium
Lineage: Bacteria; Pseudomonadati; Pseudomonadota; Alphaproteobacteria
Description: bacterial SSU rRNA
Rfam family: Bacterial small subunit ribosomal RNA
Source: RNAcentral
GAGUUUGAUCAUGGCUCAGAACGAACGCUGGCGGCAUGCCUAACACAUGCAAGUCGAACGGGAUCCUGGCUUCGGCCAGGUGAGAGUGGCGGACGGGUGAGUAACGCGUGGGAACCUGCCCAGAGGUACGGAAUAACAGUUGGAAACGACUGCUAAUACCGUAUGAGCCCGAGAGGGGAAAGAUUUAUCGCCUUUGGAGGGGCCCGCGUCAGAUUAGGUAGUUGGUGGGGUAAAGGCCUACCAAGCCUACGAUCUGUAGCUGGUCUGAGAGGAUGAUCAGCCACACUGGGACUGAGAUACGGCCCAGACUCCUACGGGAGGCAGCAGUGGGGAAUAUUGGACAAUGGGGGCAACCCUGAUCCAGCAAUGCCGCGUGAGUGAUGAAGGCCUUAGGGUUGUAAAGCUCUUUUGCCAGGGACGAUGAUGACGGUACCUGGAGAAUAAGCCCCGG